Molecule: long non-coding RNA, 1182 nt
Filed under: Sus scrofa (pig)
Lineage: Eukaryota; Metazoa; Chordata; Mammalia; Artiodactyla; Suidae
Description: lncRNA (ENSSSCG00035015989.1)
Source: RNAcentral
CCUGCCCAAGGUCACGUGGCUGGCGCGAGCCAGACCUGGGAUUAGGGGCCUAGGCCAUCUCUGGAAUUUGGGAAACCAGGUUGGAUCCGGCCCUUGAGAGGGGGUAUGAGUUUCACAGGAGGUGAGGGUGUUCCAGGCAGAGGGAAAAGCACGGACAAAGCCUCUGCGGAGGUGGGAAAACAGGAGGUGAGGAGUCAGUUCGACUCAGGCCUGGGCUACGGCGUCCAGAUGGCGGAGGCUGGAGCAGCCAGAGCUCCCUGGGGCCUCCUAGGGGUCGGGGGGGGGGGGAAGGAGGGUACAGCCGGUGUGCCCGGGGUGGGGUGGGGGGUGCUCCAGCGCAGGGAGGUGCGGAGGCCGCCCUGCCCCCACCGCACCCCUCUCCAGGGACUGGCAGUUUGGGAAGUGCAGCGUGUGCUCAGGAAAUGGUCGGAUUGGAUUACAGGGAAGAUUAAAGCAGCUAAAUUGGGCCUGGGGCUGGGGGGAAGUGUUCGAGAAGGGAACUGCACAGGGCCAGCAGCUGGACGGGCGCGAGAGGCUGCCGGGAGCGAGGGGUGGGGGCUGGGAUCCCACAUCAGGCAGGAAGCCCUCCUGACCCCAAUGCCAUGGGCCAGCCAAGUCUGGGUCCCCACUCCAGCUGCCCUGCUGCCAUCCAUGCCACCUGGGGGAUCUGGGAGAUUCUAUGAGUAGUCAGGGACUUUAUCUACCAGGGAGACCUCGGUGAGGGUCAGGGAUCUGCCCGAGCAUCCAUAAGCCCUCUAGUCACGGAGCUGAAGAGAAGGCAGGGAAGAGCUUGGCAGUGUUGCCCAACAGAAAAGAGGCUGUGUAGCUGAAGCAAGGUGAGCCCAAAAGAGAAGCGUGUGAACUGAGGUUGGCAGGGUGGGCAGGGCCCCAGUUCUGUGGGACCCUGGAGGCUAUGAUGAGUUUGGGUUUGGCUGGUUCAUUAGUUCAGGGAAGGGGGAGAAAUUGAAAAUGGUGAAACAGGCAGAGUCUCCAAAAGAUAUGAGUCCUAACCCCCAAAUAUUUGAAGAGUAGAUCUGUGGAAAGUGUUUCUUCUUGCUCUGUUUGGCUCCUAGGGCAGAAUAAGAGUCAUAGCAGAGACAUCUCCUGGGUUCAAAUAUAGGGAAAUGUUUUCUUUUUUUUUUUUUUAAGGCAUUGAUUUAUUUUAUUUAUUUAUUUUUUUAA